AUUGAACGCUGGCGGCAUGCCUUACACAUGCAAGUCGAACGGCAGCACGGGUGCUUGCACCUGGUGGCGAGUGGCGAACGGGUGAGUAAUACAUCGGAACAUGUCCUGUUGUGGGGGGUAGCCCGGCGAAAGCCGGAUUAAUACCGCACACGUUCCACGGAUGAAAGCGAGGGACCUUCGGGCCUCGCGCUAUAGGGCUGGCCGAUGGCUGAUUAGCUAGUUGGUGGGGUAAAGGCCUACCAAGGCGACGAUCAGUAGCUGGUCUGAGAGGACGACCAGCCACACUGGGACUGAGACACGGCCCAGACUCCUACGGGAGGCAGCAGUGGGGAAUUUUGGACAAUGGGCGAAAGCCUGAUCCAGCAAUGCCGCGUGUGUGAAGAAGGCCUUCGGGUUGUAAAGCACUUUUGUCCGGAAAGAAAUCCUUGACUCUAAUACAGUCGGGGGAUGACGGUACCGGAAGAAUAAGCACCGGCUAACUACGUG
RNAcentral lists this ribosomal RNA (486 nucleotides) under uncultured bacterium. RNAcentral describes it as "partial 16S ribosomal RNA". It matches the Rfam family "Bacterial small subunit ribosomal RNA", at positions 30 to 507 of the family's 1533-position model. The record is from RNAcentral.